GCAUAACGCGAAGAACCUUACCUGGCCUUGACAUUGAUAGAAUCUGCUAGAGAUAGCGGAGUGCCCUUCGGGGAGCUUGAAAACAGGUGCUGCACGGCUGUCGUCAGCUCGUGUCGUGAGAUGUUGGGUUAAGUCCCGCAACGAGCGCAACCCUCGUCACUAGUUACUAACGGUUCGGCCGAGGACUCUAGUGAGACUGCCUUCGUAAGGAGGAGGAAGGUGAGGACGACGUCAAGUCAUCAUGGCCCUUACGGCCAGGGCGACACACGUGCUACAAUGGGAUGUACAAUGAGACGCAAUACCGCGAGGUGGAGCAAAUCUAUAAAACAUCUCUCAGUUCGGAUUGUAGUCUGCAACUCGACUACAUGAAGCUGGAAUCACUAGUAAUCGUAGAUCAGCCAUGCUACGGUGAAUACGUUCCCCGGGUCUUGUACACACCG
This 440-nucleotide ribosomal RNA is filed under the name uncultured bacterium. Its description in RNAcentral is "bacterial SSU rRNA". It matches the Rfam family "Bacterial small subunit ribosomal RNA", at positions 954 to 1392 of the family's 1533-position model. The record is from RNAcentral.